GUAAAGCUGUUUGGAUCUUCAG
This 22-nucleotide microRNA is filed under the name Gallus gallus (chicken). RNAcentral describes it as "gga-miR-6571-5p". The record is from miRBase by way of RNAcentral. Lineage: Eukaryota; Metazoa; Chordata; Aves; Galliformes; Phasianidae.